GACGAACGCUGGCGGCGUGCUUAACACAUGCAAGUCGAACGGAAAGGCCCUGCUUGCAGGGUACUCGAGUGGCGAACGGGUGAGUAACACGUGGGUGAUCUGCCCUGCACUUCGGGAUAAGCCUGGGAAACUGGGUCUAAUACCGGAUAGGAGCCAUUUUUAGUGUGAUGGUUGGAAAGUUUUUUCGGUGUAGGAUGAGCUCGCGGCCUAUCAGCUUGUUGGUGGGGUAAUGGCCUACUAAGGCGGCGACGGGUAGCCGGCCUGAGAGGGUGGACGGCCACAUUGGGACUGAGAUACGGCCCAGACUCCUACGGGAGGCAGCAGUGGGGAAUAUUGCACAAUGGGCGCAAGCCUGAUGCAGCGACGCCGCGUGGGGGAUGACGGCCUUCGGGUUGUAAACUCCGUUCGCUAGGGACGAAGCUUUUUGUGACGGUACCUAGAGAAGAAGCACCGGCUAACUACGUG
This 465-nucleotide ribosomal RNA is filed under the name uncultured bacterium. RNAcentral's name for it is "partial 16S ribosomal RNA". It matches the Rfam family "Bacterial small subunit ribosomal RNA", at positions 28 to 507 of the family's 1533-position model. The record is from RNAcentral.